Molecule: transfer RNA, 72 nt
Filed under: Pangasianodon gigas (Mekong giant catfish)
Lineage: Eukaryota; Metazoa; Chordata; Actinopteri; Siluriformes; Pangasiidae
Description: tRNA-Gln
Source: RNAcentral
UCCCUGGAGGACUAGUGGUUAGGCCUCAGCACUCUGACCACUGUGGCCCAGCUUCGAUUCCCAGCCAGGGAA